This 70-nucleotide transfer RNA is filed under the name Camelus bactrianus (Bactrian camel). It matches the Rfam family "tRNA". From Rfam's summary of the family: Transfer RNA (tRNA) molecules are approximately 80 nucleotides in length. Their secondary structure includes four short double-helical elements and three loops (D, anti-codon, and T loops). Further hydrogen bonds mediate the characteristic L-shaped molecular structure. tRNAs have two regions of fundamental functional importance: the anti-codon, which is responsible for specific mRNA codon recognition, and the 3' end, to which the tRNAs corresponding amino acid is attached (by aminoacyl-tRNA synthetases). tRNAs cope with the degeneracy of the genetic code in two manners: having more than one tRNA (with a specific anti-codon) for a particular amino acid; and 'wobble' base-pairing, i.e. permitting non-standard base-pairing at the 3rd anti-codon position. RNAcentral also lists the same sequence under 2 other names. The record is from Rfam by way of RNAcentral. Lineage: Eukaryota; Metazoa; Chordata; Mammalia; Artiodactyla; Camelidae.
AAGGUUAUAGCUCAGUGUAGAGUGCCUGCUUAUCAUGCACAAGUCCUGGGUUCAAUCCCCAGUGCCUCCA